RNAcentral lists this ribosomal RNA (442 nucleotides) under uncultured bacterium. Its description in RNAcentral is "partial 16S ribosomal RNA". It matches the Rfam family "Bacterial small subunit ribosomal RNA", at positions 338 to 795 of the family's 1533-position model. The record is from RNAcentral.
CCUACGGGUGGCAGCAGUAGGGAAUCUUUCACAAUGGGCGAAAGCCUGAUGGAGCAACGCCGCGUGCAGGAUGAAGGCCUUCGGGUUGUAAACUGCUUUUAUAAGCGAGAAAUAUGAUGGUAACUUAUGAAUAAGGAUCGGCUAACUACGUGCCAGCAGCCGCGGUCAUACGUAGGAUCCGAGCAUUAUCCGGAGUGACUGGGUGUAAAGAGUUGCGUAGGUGGCAUAAUAAGUAGCUAGUGAAAUCUGGUGGCUCAACCAUUCAGACUAUGAGCUAAACUGUUAAGCUCGAGACCGUUAGGGGUAACUGGAAUUUGUGGUGUAGGGGUGAAAUGCGUAGAUAUUAGAAGGAACACCAAUAGCGUAGGCAGGUUACUGGGACGGUUCUGACACUAAGGCACGAAAGCGUAGGGAGCAAACGGGAUUAGAUACCCGUGUAGUC